RNAcentral lists this ribosomal RNA (437 nucleotides) under uncultured bacterium. Its description in RNAcentral is "partial 16S ribosomal RNA". It matches the Rfam family "Bacterial small subunit ribosomal RNA", at positions 29 to 507 of the family's 1533-position model. The record is from RNAcentral.
AGCGAACGCUGGCGGCAGGCUUAACACAUGCAAGUCGAGCGGGCAUCCUUGUGGUGUCAGCGGCAGACGGGUGAGUAACGCGUGGGAACGUGCCCUUCGGUUCGGAAUAACUCAGGGAAACUUGAGCUAAUACCGGAUACGUGCGAGAGCAGAAAGGUUUAUCUGCCGAAGGAUCGGCCCGCGUCUGAUUAGCUAGUUGGUGAGGUUAUGGCUCACCAAGGCGACGAUCAGUAGCUGGUCUGAGAGGAUGAUCAGCCACACUGGGACUGAGACACGGCCCAGACUCCUACGGGAGGCAGCAGUGGGGAAUAUUGGACAAUGGGGGCAACCCUGAUCCAGCCAUGCCGCGUGAGUGAUGUCGGCCUUAGGGUUGUAAAGCUCUUUUCUUCGGGACGAUAAUGACGGUACCGGAGGAAUAAGCCCCGGCUAACUUCGUG